Molecule: non-coding RNA, 620 nt
Organism: Oryza sativa Japonica Group (Japanese rice)
Lineage: Eukaryota; Viridiplantae; Streptophyta; Magnoliopsida; Poales; Poaceae
Source: RefSeq, a predicted model, not a curated record
CUUGACCGCCUAGGUCGGUUUCCUCCCCAAACCGACAUCACCACCGCCUAUAAAACCCAACUCGAGCCCCUCCCUUUCCUCCUCGUUUCCUUGCCCAACCUCCACCGCGCCAUUGCCGCCGGACCAUCUCUGCCGCUCGCCGACCUCGCCUCCCUCCGCCGUCGCACGUGCUGGUGAAGCUGGUGUGUGCGACGACACGUGACGCGGGACUACGGGCACCCUCUCCUUCCCCUUCCCCGGCCCGAGUCCGGAGAGCUCGCCCCGCGCCGUCGGUCGCCCAUCACAGCGCCCGUCUCGACUCGUGCUAACCCCGGGCUUGUCGGACUGGAAUCCUUUGAAGAAUGAAUCCCCAAUGACUGUGCUAGAUCCACCAUGCCAUUCAGUGUUGCAGGUCAUGAUGCUUCGAGCUCGUGAUUGGUCUGUGUCAGCGUAAUGGAUACAUUCAGUUAUCAUAUUUCCUCUAAAAUAUUCGUGUUUUCGUUCAUUAGAUUUACUUUGUUAGAUUUGGCGGUUUGGCAAUGAUGAAACAAACUUUCAGCUUACCAUGCCAGUUCUGCUUCUGAGAAUUCAUGACAGAUAAAGCUGAUAUAGAUCUGAACUGAAUGUUUUCAUUUGCAUUA